RNAcentral lists this ribosomal RNA (453 nucleotides) under uncultured marine group I thaumarchaeote. Its description in RNAcentral is "bacterial SSU rRNA". It matches the Rfam family "Archaeal small subunit ribosomal RNA", at positions 1 to 460 of the family's 1478-position model. Lineage: Archaea; Thermoproteati; Nitrososphaerota. The record is from RNAcentral.
UUCCGGUUGAUCCUGCCGGACCUGACUGCUAUCGGAUUGAUACUAAGCCAUGCGAGUCAUUGUAGCAAUACAAGGCAUACGGCUCAGUAACGCGUAGUCAACCUAACCUAUGGACGGGAAUAACCUCGGGAAACUGAGAAUAAUGCCCGAUAGAACAUUAUGCCUGGAAUGGUUUAUGUUCCAAAUGAUUUAUCGCCGUAGGAUGGGACUGCGGCCUAUCAGUUUGUUGGUGAGGUAAUGGCCCACCAAGACUAUUACAGGUACGGGCUCUGAGAGGAGUAGCCCGGAGAUGGGUACUGAGACACGGACCCAGGCCCUAUGGGGCGCAGCAGGCGAGAAAACUUUGCAAUGUGCGAAAGCACGACAAGGUUAAUCCGAGUGGUUUCUGCUAAAGAAACCUUUUGUCAGUCCUAGAAACACUGAUGAAUAAGGGGUGGGCAAGUUCUGGUGUCA